This 371-nucleotide ribosomal RNA is filed under the name uncultured bacterium. RNAcentral describes it as "bacterial SSU rRNA". It matches the Rfam family "Bacterial small subunit ribosomal RNA", at positions 527 to 898 of the family's 1533-position model. The record is from RNAcentral.
GUAGGGUGCGAGCGUUAAUCGGAAUUACUGGGCGUAAAGCGUGCGCAGGCGGUUCGUUGUGUCCGAUGUGAAAUCCCCGGGCUCAACCUGGGAAUGGCAUUGGAAACUGGCGGACUGGAGUGCGGCAGAGGGGGGUGGAAUUCCGCGUGUAGCAGUGAAAUGCGUAGAGAUGCGGAGGAACACCGAUGGCGAAGGCAGCCCCCUGGGCCGACACUGACGCUCAGGCACGAAAGCGUGGGGAGCAAACAGGAUUAGAUACCCUGGUAGUCCACGCCCUAAACGAUGUCGACUGGGUGUCGGGAGAGAGAUCUCUUGGUACCGUAGCUAACGCGUGAAGUCGACCGCCUGGGGAGUACGGCCGCAAGGUUAAA